This 252-nucleotide ribosomal RNA is filed under the name uncultured bacterium. RNAcentral describes it as "partial 16S ribosomal RNA". It matches the Rfam family "Bacterial small subunit ribosomal RNA", at positions 524 to 776 of the family's 1533-position model. The record is from RNAcentral.
UACGGGGGAUGCGAGCGUUAUCCGGAUUUAUUGGGUUUAAAGGGUGCGUAGGCGGAUCGUUAAGUCAGUGGUCAAAUUGAGGGGCUCAACCCCUUCCCGCCAUUGAAACUGGCGAUCUUGAGUGGAAGAGAAGUAUGCGGAAUGCGUGGUGUAGCGGUGAAAUGCAUAGAUAUCACGCAGAACCCCGAUUGCGAAGGCAGCAUGCCGGCUUCCGACUGACGCUGAAGCACGAAAGCGUGGGGAUCGAACAGG